GUAGAAAGUGACGAGGAAGCGAAGAAAGAAGUUGUUGAUAAUGUGGUCAAGAAUCGUAGAAAGAAGUCAAAGAGAUUGAAUCUUGACCAGAGGAUUGCUCUACUAAAGAAUAAAGAAGGUAAAAUGCUUGCUUCAUCCGAAAGAAGAAAACUUAAUGAGGACACCGAAGAUGAAAAAAUUGAUAAGCUUGUCAGAGAAUAUUCAGGUGCUACCGACUUAGCGAGCUUAGACUGGAAGAAAAUGAAGAUCCCUCCAG
Molecule: unclassified non-coding RNA, 256 nt
Filed under: Hevea brasiliensis (rubber tree)
Lineage: Eukaryota; Viridiplantae; Streptophyta; Magnoliopsida; Malpighiales; Euphorbiaceae
Source: RNAcentral